This 301-nucleotide ribosomal RNA is filed under the name uncultured bacterium. RNAcentral's name for it is "partial 16S ribosomal RNA". It matches the Rfam family "Bacterial small subunit ribosomal RNA", at positions 509 to 807 of the family's 1533-position model. The record is from RNAcentral.
CAGUAGCCGCGGUAAUGCGUAGGGUGCGAGCGUUAAUCGGAAUUACUGGGCGUAAAGCGUGCGCAGGCGGUUAUGUAAGACAGUUGUGAAAUCCCCGGGCUCAACCUGGGAACUGCAUCUGUGACUGCAUAGCUAGAGUACGGUAGAGGGGGAUGGAAUUCCGCGCGUAGCAGUGAAAUGCGUAGAUAUGCGGAGGAACACCGAUGGCGAAGGCAAUCCCCUGGACCUGUACUGACGCUCAUGCACGGAAGCGUGGGGAGCAAACAGGAUUAGAUACCCCUGUAGUCCCUGUCUCUUAUAC